This 344-nucleotide ribosomal RNA is filed under the name uncultured bacterium. RNAcentral describes it as "bacterial SSU rRNA". It matches the Rfam family "Bacterial small subunit ribosomal RNA", at positions 28 to 402 of the family's 1533-position model. The record is from RNAcentral.
GACGAACGCUGGCGGCGUGCUUAACACAUGCAAGUCGAGCGCCCAGCAAUGGGAGCGGCGGACGGGUGAGUAACGCGUGGGAAUUUUUCCUGGAGUACGGAACAACCGAGGGAAACUUCGGCUAAUACCGUAUGAUGCCGAGAGGCCAAAGAUUUAUCGCUCUGGGGUGAGCCCCGCGUCAGAUUAGGUAGUUGGUGGGGUAAAGGCCCACCAAGGCGACGAUCCGUAGCUGGUCUGAGAGGAUGAUCAGCCACACUGGAACUGAGGCACGGUCCAGACUCCUACGGGAGGCAGCAGUGGGAAUAUUGGACAAUGGGCGCAAGCCUGAUCCAGCCAUGCCGCGU